AGAUAACAUUAGGGGAGCCAAUCGGCUGAGACGGAACAUCUUCGGACCCUUCGAACCUGAUCUGGUUUGCGCCAGCGUAGGGAAGUGUUAAAAGAAGCCA
This is a regulatory RNA element of 100 nucleotides. It matches the Rfam family "TPP riboswitch aptamer (THI element)". Rfam says of the family: Vitamin B(1) in its active form thiamin pyrophosphate (TPP) is an essential coenzyme that is synthesised by coupling of pyrimidine and thiazole moieties in bacteria. The previously detected thiamin-regulatory element, thi box was extended, resulting in a new, highly conserved RNA secondary structure, the THI element, which is widely distributed in eubacteria and also occurs in some archaea. Analysis of operon structures identified a large number of new candidate thiamin-regulated genes, mostly transporters, in various prokaryotic organisms. The record is from Rfam.